This 387-nucleotide ribosomal RNA is filed under the name uncultured Geobacter sp. RNAcentral's name for it is "bacterial SSU rRNA". It matches the Rfam family "Bacterial small subunit ribosomal RNA", at positions 1001 to 1382 of the family's 1533-position model. The record is from RNAcentral. Lineage: Bacteria; Pseudomonadati; Thermodesulfobacteriota; Desulfuromonadia; Geobacterales; Geobacteraceae.
UAGAAGUACGAGGACGCUUCCUUCGGGUAAGCGAGCGUACACAGGUGCUGCAUGGCUGUCGUUAGCUCGUGCCGUGAGGUGUUGGGUUAAGUCCCGCAACGAGCGCAACCCCUAUCUUUAGUUGCCAUCAGUUCGGCUGGGCACUCUAUGGAGACUGCCACCUAAAGUGGAGGAAGGUGGGGAUGACGUCAAGUCAGCAUGGCCCUUACGUCCGGGGCUACACACGUGCUACAAUGGCCGGUACAAAGGGUUGCGAAGCCGUGAGGUGGAGCGAAUCUCAAAAAGCCGGCCUCAGUUCGGAUUGGAGGCUGCAACUCGCCUCCAUGAAGUCGGAAUCGCUAGUAACCGCAGAUCAGCUACGUUGCGGUGAAUACGUUCCCGGGCCUU